This is a long non-coding RNA of Oreochromis niloticus (Nile tilapia), 1267 nucleotides long. RefSeq lists it as uncharacterized. The transcript is spliced from 3 exons. NCBI's taxonomy places the organism in Eukaryota, Metazoa, Chordata, Actinopteri, Cichliformes, Cichlidae. The record is from RefSeq and is a predicted model, not a curated record.
UUCAUUCCAAAAUGAUCUGUUUUCAUGCAUGAACAAAAAAGACAUUAAACCUAGAACUGACCAUCUAUCAUUUUAAUUUUUAAUUGUAUUUUUAAUUAUAACUUGAUUGAGGAAAUGGCACGUUAUAAUCCAUAUACAGCCAAACUGCAGGUCUUUAAUUAUUUUUUGUCUAAUGUCUCUGUUGAUGCAGUUAGGUUAUAAUCUGGGCUCUGACGUACACUCUGCAUCUAUAUGAAUAACAUUGAAAGGGACAGUCUAGUAUAUAAAAGUAAUUUUGAGGGUCAUUGUCUUUAAAAAGUUCUGGAUUCCACAUACAAGGUAAAAGUAUUCCAAAAAAAUGCAUUUUGUCACUUGUAUUACUUUGGAAGAGAUUAAAUUUCUGGCAUAGCUUUUGAUUUUGGAGGUUGAUAAGUGAAACAAUAUAUAAAGAACUCACAGAUAACUUUUUAAAAACCCCAAACAAACCUACAGUCAUGAAAAAGAAAUUUCCAAUGUCUUUCAUUUCUGUUGUUUCAAAUAUCAGGACAUAAUAAAAAAAAAAAAUCACCUGGUCCCAACCAUAUUCUCUCUCAUGAGGUUUAAGCAUAGCCCUCUUAAGGUCCCGCCAGCAUUUCAAAUAGCUUGAGGUCUGGACUUUGGCAGGGCUAUUCCAGCACCUUGAUUCUUUUCUUAUUCAGCCAGUCUGUUGUAGAUGAUCAGUUAGCCAAGCUUUAGCUAUCAGAUAGAUGGCGUCACAUCUGACUCCAGUAUACUUUAUUAUACACAGGAAGACUCCAGACCAGCAAACAGCCAAAACUGCUUUAACAGAGAUGGUCACACUUGCAGAUGAUCAAUUAAUCAAGUGCAUUUGAUUAACAGAUGGCUGCUACUUUCCAUCUUAAUUCCCAUGGAAGCAAUUUGGCUGUUUUUAGACAAACUCACAGCCAGACAGUUGUAGGUGAAAAAGUUGGUGACACGUAGGCCUCCUUUAAUGGGGUCUGGCUUGGCCUCGGCUCCUGGAAACAGCGGGUUUAAAUCUCCAGCUUUAGUGUUCGACAACACAGACUCCAACUGAGGACCAAUGUACAGGUUCUGGGUCUGGAAAGCUGAGAGUCGCCGGAGGCUAUAACUGACCUGUCGGGGAAAGAUCAUCAAGUUGAGUCCAUUAUACAGUAACAACCAAGCUGGCACAUCAGUACCUCAGUGUAGAGCAGAAAGCGGACCAGGCUUUCACUCAGCUUUUGCACAACUCUGCGGGACACCCCCUGCCCGACUGCUGCUCCCCCUG